RNAcentral lists this long non-coding RNA (836 nucleotides) under Rattus norvegicus (Norway rat). RNAcentral describes it as "long non-coding RNA NONRATT010910". The record is from RNAcentral. Lineage: Eukaryota; Metazoa; Chordata; Mammalia; Rodentia; Muridae.
GGCCCAUCGUGGUGGGUGGACCCAAUUACCAGGACGCUGAGAGAAGCUGCAGCCAUCUGGGCACCAUGGUGGAAUUUGCAGUGGCCCUGGGGUCUAAGCUGGGUGUCAUCAAUAAGCACUCGUUCAACAACUUCCGCCUGCGUGUGGGUGAGGGACCUCCUUUGCUGGCGGAAUAUGGCACCUCCUCUCCCCUCUCCGAGUUCUUCAUUGGCUACUCUCUAGCUCAUCCCUGGACACCCCUCUUCAGACUUACUCCCUUGGCUGAAGCAUAAAGCUGCUAGUCCAAGAGCUAAGAGAAUCACCCUUCCCCUCCCUAUCUACUCCCAUCCAACCCCAAAGACUCUCUUAUAAAACAGCCUGAUCUCCCCAUUUCCCCUAAUCUUCUUCUCUAGCAUGCCUCCCCAUCAAAGCCCACAUUUCUUAUCAGGGUUAAACCAUGGACCAGUCGUAGCAGGGGUGAUUGGGGCGCAGAAGCCACAAUAUGACAUCUGGGGGAAUACAGUGAACGUGGCCAGCCGCAUGGAGAGCACAGGAGUUCUCGGCAAGAUCCAAGUGAGAACAUCCAAGAGAGGCAUCAGGGAGGGGACAAGGAUAAGGCCACUCUACACUCCCUUACCCCUCUCCCAAUUGCAGGUGACCGAGGAGACAGCUAGGGCUCUGCAAUCCCUGGGUUACACAUGCUACAGCCGAGGUGUCAUCAAGGUCAAGGGCAAAGGGCAACUCUGUACCUACUUCCUGAACACAGACCUGACACGAACCGGAUCUCCCUCAGCAUCCUAGACACCUGAGCUCCCCUUCUCCAAGAUCCUCAAUAAAAUGUCUCCAGGCAUCUGAAA